UACGUAGGGGGCAAGCGUUGUCCGGAAUCAUUGGGCGUAAAGCGCGUGUAGGCGGCUUGGUAAGUCCGCUCUGAAAGCCCGGGGCUCAACCCCGGGAGGCGGGUGGAUACUGCUGAGCUCGAGUCCGGAAGAGGCGAGUGGAAUUCCUGGUGUAGCGGUGAAAUGCGCAGAUAUCAGGAGGAACACCGAUGGCGAAGGCAGCUCGCUGGGACGGUACUGACGCUGAGACGCGAAAGCGUGGGGAGCAAACAGG
This 253-nucleotide ribosomal RNA is filed under the name uncultured bacterium. RNAcentral describes it as "partial 16S ribosomal RNA". It matches the Rfam family "Bacterial small subunit ribosomal RNA", at positions 524 to 776 of the family's 1533-position model. The record is from RNAcentral.